UGUUUGAUUGAGUCUCACAGUGACUGGAGAUAUGAAUGGUAUAAAGACACAGACAGAGUAAUGUUACAGACGUCUGAUCGUUACACUGUAAACAGAGACACUCUCACUAUCAGAGGAGUAAUUACAUCUGAUCAGGGUCAGUACUGGUGUAGAGGACAGAGAGAUGAGAGACCAAACUCAUCACAGGACAGUAACCGAAUACAUCUGUCUCUUAAUGGUUCAGGUCAGAUUUCUGUCUUCAGCAUCCUCAGUUUUCUUCUGGCAGCUUGUCCGUAUCUGCUUUCGACAGUUGUGCUGCUGUUCAAAUGUUACAGAGUGAGAGUUUCAUCUACUGAAGACCAAAGCCAGUAUGCUGUAACAGAGGAACAAACUUCAACCUGAUUUCAUCCAUUCUUCAAACCGAGUGCAGAGUCUCAGGAUGCUGGAGUUUCAGACUGAAGGAAACUCACAAGACUAACAGACACACAUUCACACUCUCACACAUGCAGACUAUUAGCGUUUCUAAUUCUCCUGGGGCCUCAUGUAUACAACUUUACAAAGAGUUCAUCCUAAUUGUAAUCAUUUAUCAUAAGAUUUCAUAUGAUAAAUAAUUGUUAUAUUAUAUUAUAAUAUAAUUGUUUUAUUUUUAUAUUAUAUUUAAUAUUUUUUAUAUUAUGUUAUCAUAUGAUUUCAUUCUAGAUAUCAUCCUAAAUGAGGGAACAAACAAAACUGUUAAUAAAAUCAAUCCAUUUUCCUGCAGUUGAUCAGUUCUUCUACAGACCCACGGAUGAGAAAUGUUCAAACUAAUGGCAUUUCAGCCCAGAGAUGUUUUAUUCAGAUUUAACCUGAUUGUCAAUAAAAGCUGAGACAGAGACAUCAAUUAUAUCUGAUAUACGAACAUUUUACUGAAUGUGAGGAACAUAUUCAUUAUGACACUUUAAGUGAACA
This is a long non-coding RNA of Carassius carassius (crucian carp), 927 nucleotides long. RefSeq lists it as uncharacterized. NCBI's taxonomy places the organism in Eukaryota, Metazoa, Chordata, Actinopteri, Cypriniformes, Cyprinidae. The transcript has 3 exons. The record is from RefSeq and is a predicted model, not a curated record.